UACAGGGGGGGCAAGCGUUGUUCGGAAUUACUGGGCGUAAAGGGCUCGUAGGCGGCCAACUAAGUCCGACGUGAAAUCCCAAAGCUUAACUUUGGAACUGCGUCGGAUACUGGAUGGCUUGAAUUCGGGAGAGGGAUGCAGAAUUCCAGGUGCAGCGGUGAAAUGCGUAGAUAUCAGGAGGAACACCUGUGGUGUAGACGGCUUUCUGGACCAUAGCUGACGCUGAGACACGAAAGCGUGGGUAGCAAACAGG
Molecule: ribosomal RNA, 253 nt
Filed under: uncultured bacterium
Lineage: Bacteria
Description: partial 16S ribosomal RNA
Rfam family: Bacterial small subunit ribosomal RNA
Source: RNAcentral